This 251-nucleotide ribosomal RNA is filed under the name uncultured bacterium. Its description in RNAcentral is "partial 16S rRNA". It matches the Rfam family "Bacterial small subunit ribosomal RNA", at positions 505 to 755 of the family's 1533-position model. The record is from RNAcentral.
GUGUCAGCAGCCGCGGUAAUACGUAGGGAGCAAGCGUUGUCCGGAAUCAUUGGGCGUAAAGCGCGCGUAGGUGGCCACAUAAGUCCGUUGUGAAAGUCAAAGGCUCAACCUUUGAAAGCCGAUGGAUACUGUGUGGCUAGAGUACGGAAGAGGCGAGUGGAAUUCCUGGUGUUGCGGGGGACUGCGCAGAGAUCAGGAGGAACACCAAUAGAGAAGGCAGCGCGCUGGGACGUUACUGACACUGAGGCGCG